CUCUACCCUCGGGCCGGUGUCGGAUGAACCUGUCGAGUCGACCUCGUCGGAUGAGCUCCUCGAUCUCAUCUCGGAGCUGGAUGCAUUCCUCCAUGUCGUGGUCGUGGUCGCAGUGGUAGAGACAGAACUUGUUAGGGUUGCGCUUCCCGGGGUGUGUGCGCAUCCUCUCUGGCCUAGGGAGCUGCUCCCUGACCUCCAUCAGUACCUGGGUCUUCAAGGCAUUGAGGGGGGUGUAGUUGCAGAACAUCCC
RNAcentral lists this long non-coding RNA (250 nucleotides) under Elaeis guineensis (African oil palm). RNAcentral describes it as "long non-coding RNA (EGUI_LNC069498)". Lineage: Eukaryota; Viridiplantae; Streptophyta; Magnoliopsida; Arecales; Arecaceae. The record is from RNAcentral.